CAAUUUUUAGGUGGGAAGUCAAUUGUGGUUUAUGUUGUCAUACCCGUGAUGUUCAUUACAAUGAUCUCUUCCUUAUCCUACUUUAUCUUGAUUCUUGAGUCAUUAUGAUCAAAAUACUCCCUUUUAUUAAUUUUUUUUCCCAUUCUACUUAUCAUAUCUUGUAUAUAUAAAUGAAAGGGUGGUGAAGAAGAUUAGUGUAAAGAAUGGAAAGAAAUGAAGGAGGAAUGAAAGUAGAAUUACCACAAAUAAUGAACAAUAAUUCAAGCCCAAGAGAAUUAACAAGGCAACCGAGCAAUGGAAGUUCAAAAGUAAGUAGUUGCCUUUGUUCUCCUACCACUCAUGUUGGCUCAUUUAGAUGCCGUCUUCAUCGCUCGCCAAGCCUUCAACGCACCAAAAGUGUAGAUCCUCCUGCAUCUUCAAAGCCAGAUAAUAAUGCUACUAACUAUUAACAUUAUUCAUCUAUUAAUAUAUCAAUUUAUAAUAUCAUGAAAAGUAUUCUUAUGUGUUAUGUAAUUAUGUUAUGAUGGAAGUAUAUUAUAUGAUCAUGUAUUCAUGUACGUUCAUUGUU
Molecule: long non-coding RNA, 568 nt
Organism: Amaranthus tricolor (Joseph's coat)
Lineage: Eukaryota; Viridiplantae; Streptophyta; Magnoliopsida; Caryophyllales; Amaranthaceae
Exons: 2
Source: RefSeq, a predicted model, not a curated record